Molecule: RNA transcript, 926 nt
Organism: Lycium ferocissimum
Lineage: Eukaryota; Viridiplantae; Streptophyta; Magnoliopsida; Solanales; Solanaceae
Gene name: cytochrome c-like
Exons: 2
Source: RefSeq, a predicted model, not a curated record
CAGAAAAGAAAAAUCCAGUUCAAAGAAAAAUGGCAUCAUUUAAUGAGGCACCACCAGGAAACGAAAAAGCAGGAGAGAAGAUCUUCAAGACUAAAUGUGCUCAAUGCCAUACUGUCGACAAAGGUGCCGGUCACAAACAAGACUUGCAAGUUCGAGAGAUAGAAGUUGGACGAUUGGAUAUACUUCAAGGUAUGUUAAGGCUAUCCUUUCUUUCUUUGAGCAUGAUCCUAUGAUAUGAGCCAACAAGCGAGUAAAAGAGCUUCCAUAUUGCUCUACUCUUAGAAGCAUUAGAAGUACUUCAGUCUUUGAUGUUCAUGUACCUCGCUUAUGAGUGUUCCUUCUGUUCAUGGGUCCAGUUUUAUGUAGCCAGUUCUAUGUAUACAGUUUAUUCAUGCAUUACAUUCAUUAUAUAUUUAUGUACAUUGACCCGUGACCAGAAGGUAUUAUAUACGCGAAUAUUAGGUAUAUGUGGAGUAUGAGAAGAAAGAUAGGCGUUAUACGUGCAUUACCACUAUGAUGAUAUGAGAAUCAGGCUGCACGUACCGCAAAGAAUGUAUAUGUAAUGGCCGUCGAGAGGCCGAUAUGAUAUGAGAAGAGAGACAGGCGUUAUACACGCACAUAUAUCAGACGUUAUAUAUGCGCGCGCACACACACACACACACACACACACACACACACACACACACACAUAUAUAUAUAUAGAUGUAUGACCUUCAUUGAUAGGUAUGAUCAUGCAUAUUAUGCGCCCACAGUGGCAUUGUCAGUUACAUAGAUUUAUGCAGAUACAUACAGAUGCUAGUUCAUACAAGUACAUGCAGAUAGUCAUUUCAGCUUAUGAGUUUAGAUCUUAUUCAUGAUUUUUGGAUAUAUAUGUUGUUCUUGUGAUUUACAUACUCGGUAUAUUAUCCGUACUGACUCCCCGUUGC